This 568-nucleotide ribosomal RNA is filed under the name uncultured bacterium. RNAcentral describes it as "bacterial SSU rRNA". It matches the Rfam family "Bacterial small subunit ribosomal RNA", at positions 338 to 916 of the family's 1533-position model. The record is from RNAcentral.
CCUACGGGAGGCAGCAGUGGGGAAUAUUGCACAAUGGGCGGAAGCCUGAUGCAGCAACGCCGCGUGCGGGAUGACGGCCUUCGGGUUGUAAACCGCUUUCGCCUGUGACGAAGCGUGAGUGACGGUAAUGGGUAAAGAAGCACCGGCUAACUACGUGCCAGCAGCCGCGGUGAUACGUAGGGUGCGAGCGUUGUCCGGAUUUAUUGGGCGUAAAGGGCUCGUAGGUGGUUGAUCGCGUCGGAAGUGUAAUCUUGGGGCUUAACCCUGAGCGUGCUUUCGAUACGGGUUGACUUGAGGAAGGUAGGGGAGAAUGGAAUUCCUGGUGGAGCGGUGGAAUGCGCAGAUAUCAGGAGGAACACCAGUGGCGAAGGCGGUUCUCUGGGCCUUUCCUGACGCUGAGGAGCGAAAGCGUGGGGAGCGAACAGGCUUAGAUACCCUGGUAGUCCACGCUGUAAACGGUGGGUACUAGGUGUGGGGUCCAUUCCACGGGUUCCGUGCCGUAGCUAACGCUUUAAGUACCCCGCCUGGGGAGUACGGCCGCAAGGCUAAAACUCAAAGGAAUUGACGG